GACAAACUCAACCUACUUGUUUGAUCCCCAUCUCAAGCUUAUUCUCUCAAUAGGCAUAGAAAAGUUACUCUAUACCUACACCUUCCUCUAUACCUACUCCUCUCACUCUUUAUUUCAGAGCCUUUUGGGCAAAACCAAGCUUCAUCAACUUCAGUCUCAAAGCAAUGGCAAAUAUCAGCCAGCCAUUGAAGUUAGAAGCUUAUCAUCAUCAUCGUCAUCUUCUUGCGUCUUGUUCCCUUGUUCUUGCCCUUUGCUUCUUCUCUUCUGUUCCAGUCCAUGCCCUUAACAUUGGUGUUCAAAAAAUAGAUGCAACUGUCUCUGUGAGUAAAGAAUGCAGCAGGAAAUGUGAGUCUGAGUUCUGUUCAGUGCCUCCAUUUUUGAGAUAUGGCAAGUAUUGUGGGCUACUAUACAGUGGAUGUCCAGGGGAGAAACCUUGUGAUGGCCUUGAUGCUUGCUGCAUGAAGCAUGAUGCCUGUGUUCAAGCGAAGAACAGUAAUGUUCAUCCAUCUUUAACUUUUCACUUCAAAUCUACAAUUUAUGUAAAUUUACAGAAACCCCCCACUAAGGAAAUAGGUAUAACAUAGCUGCUGAUAAGGUCUAUUAUCCUAAAGAUAAAGUUAUAGUAAAAAAAUAUUAUUUUUAGUUUAAUGGUACUAAAAUUGUUCUUUUAAAUUAUAAUCAGAGUAAAUUAUAAAAUAAUAAUAAUAAAUAAACUCUAAUUUAUGAGAUUUGGUAUUUCGGUUGUUGGAACUUACUGUAUGGCAAGUAACUGAUUCAAUGAAUGACAGCUGAUGAUAAUAAUAAUAAUAAUGAUAAUUAACAUUAUAAUAAUUAUGUCGGUGGUUUUUGUAUAGGCUUCCAAAUAGUAAUUUUGUGGAUAUUAAUAUAUGGGACAUUGACAGCUAUAAAAGUGAGAUGAGUGUAUUAGUGUGUCUGACAGAGAGAUUUGGAUGGGUUACGUGUGUGAAAAAUGAUGAUUUAUUUUAUUGAAUUAAUUCAUAUAAAAGUUGUAUUAAAAUUAAAAUAAUUGAUAAUAAAAAUUGGUGUUGGUGCAGAUGAUUAUCUAAGCCAAGAGUGUAGCCAAAACUUCAUCAAUUGCAUGACAAAUUUCAAGAACUCAGGAGGGCAUACCUUCAAAGGAAACAAAUGCCAAGCUGAUGAGGUUAUUGAUGUCAUUUCCCUAGUCAUGGAGGCUGCUUUGCUUGCUGGAAGAUACCUUCACAAGCCAUGAUAUUGAAAUUUAUUUAACCCAAUCAAUUACCCAAAGCCAAUCAAAUCCAAAGCUCAAACAAUUUUCUGGGAAAGUUAGUUUUCUCUUCACUACUUUUGUUUUUAUUUGUAUUUUUUUUAAUCUUCAUUGGCUGAAUCUGGGUAAAUUUAUAAUUUGCUAUUAUUCAUACAUUCAUCUUCUUGUUUAAAUUUAUGUAUUUUCUUCAAUUAAUGAUCACUUUUCCUUCAGGAA
This 1462-nucleotide unclassified non-coding RNA is filed under the name Hevea brasiliensis (rubber tree). Lineage: Eukaryota; Viridiplantae; Streptophyta; Magnoliopsida; Malpighiales; Euphorbiaceae. The record is from RNAcentral.